Molecule: unclassified non-coding RNA, 401 nt
Filed under: soil metagenome
Description: partial contains 5.8S ribosomal RNA, internal transcribed spacer 2, and large subunit ribosomal RNA
Rfam family: 5.8S ribosomal RNA (bases 5-120)
Source: RNAcentral
GAUGAGAACGCAGCGAAAUGCGAUAAGUAAUGUGAAUUGCAGAAUUCAGUGAAUCAUCGAAUCUUUGAACGCACCUUGCGCCCUUUGGCUAUUCUGAAGGGCAUGCCUGUUUGAGUAUCAUGAACACCUCAACUCUCAUGGUUUGCCAUGAUGAGCUUGGACUUUGGGGGUCUUGCUGGCCUACGGUCAGCUCCUCUCAAAUGAAUCAGCUUGCCAGUGUUUGGUAGAGUCGCAGGUGUGAUAACUAUCUACGCUUGUGGUUUUCUGCCAGAUAACCUUCAGUGAUGGAGGUUCGCUGGAGCUUAUAAAUGUCUCUCCCCAGUGAGGACAGCUUUUUGAACGUUUGAUCUCAAAUCAGGUAGGACUACCCGCUGAACUUAAGCAUAUCAAUAAGCGGAGGA